Molecule: ribosomal RNA, 467 nt
Filed under: uncultured bacterium
Lineage: Bacteria
Description: partial 16S ribosomal RNA
Rfam family: Bacterial small subunit ribosomal RNA
Source: RNAcentral
GACGAACGCUGGCGGCGUGCUUAACACAUGCAAGUCGAACGGAAAGGCCCUGCUUUUGUGGGGUGCUCGAGUGGCGAACGGGUGAGUAACACGUGAGUAACCUGCCCUUGACUUUGGGAUAACUUCAGGAAACUGGGGCUAAUACCGGAUAGGAGCUCCUGCUGCAUGGUGGGGGUUGGAAAGUUUCGGCGGUUGGGGAUGGACUCGCGGCUUAUCAGCUUGUUGGUGGGGUAGUGGCUUACCAAGGCUUUGAAGGGUAGCCGGCCUGAGAGGGUGACCGGCCACAUUGGGCCUGAGAUACGGCCCAGACUCCUACGGGAGGCAGCAGUGGGGAAUAUUGCACAAUGGGCGGAAUCCUGAUGCAGCAACGCCGCGUGCGGGAUGACGGCCUUCGGGUUGUAAACCGCUUUCGCCUGUGACGAAGCGUGAGUGACGGUAAUGGGUAAAGAAGCACCGGCUAACUACGU